This 461-nucleotide ribosomal RNA is filed under the name uncultured bacterium. RNAcentral's name for it is "bacterial SSU rRNA". It matches the Rfam family "Bacterial small subunit ribosomal RNA", at positions 343 to 797 of the family's 1533-position model. The record is from RNAcentral.
CGGAGGCAGCAGUGGGGAAUCUUGCGCAAUGGGCGAAAGCCUGACGCAGCGACGCCGCGUGGGUGAUGAAGGCCUUCGGGUUGUAAAGCCCUGUGGAGAGGGACGAAUAAGUUCGACCUAAUACGUCGAGCGAUGACGGUACCUCUUUAGCAAGCACCGGCUAACUCUGUGCCAGCAGCCGCGGUAAGACAGAGGGUGCAAACGUUGUUCGGAAUUACUGGGCGUAAAGCGCGUGUAGGCGGUCGUGCAAGUCGGGUGUGAAAGCCCAGGGCUCAACCCUGGAAGUGCAUUCGAUACUGCGCGGCUAGAGUCCCGGAGAGGAUGGUGGAACUCUCGGUGUAGAGGUGAAAUUCGUAGAUAUCGAGAAGAACACCGGUGGCGAAGGCGGCCAUCUGGACGGUGACUGACGCUGAGACGCGAAAGCGUGGGGAGCAAACAGGAUUAGAUACCCCUGUAGUCCC